Molecule: ribosomal RNA, 460 nt
Filed under: uncultured bacterium
Lineage: Bacteria
Description: partial 16S ribosomal RNA
Rfam family: Bacterial small subunit ribosomal RNA
Source: RNAcentral
CCUACGGGAGGCAGCAGUGAGGAAUAUUGGUCCAUGGGCGCGAGCCUGAACCAGCCAAGUAGCGUGAAGGGUGACUUCCCUACGGGUUGUAAACUUCUUUUAUAAAGGAAUAAAGUGAGGCACGUGUGCUUUUUCGUAUGUACUUUAUGAAUAAGGAUCGGCUAAAUCCGUUCCAGCAGCCGCGGUAAUACGGAGGAUCCGAGCGUUCUCCGGAUUUAUUGGGUUUAAAGGGUGCGUAGAUGGGAUGUUAAGGCAGUUGUGAAAGUUGGCGGCACCACCGUAAAAGUGCAGUUGAUACUGGCAGUCUAGAGUACAGGAGAGGUAUGCGGAAGUCGUGGUGUAGCGGUGAAAUGCUUAGAUAUCACGAAGAACUCCGAUUGCGAAGGCAGCUUACGAAACUGCCACUGACAUUGAUGCUCGAAAGUGUGGGUAUCAAACAGGAUUAGAUACCCGUGUAGUC